This 423-nucleotide ribosomal RNA is filed under the name uncultured bacterium. RNAcentral describes it as "bacterial SSU rRNA". It matches the Rfam family "Bacterial small subunit ribosomal RNA", at positions 207 to 622 of the family's 1533-position model. The record is from RNAcentral.
AAGACCUUGCGCUUUUGGAGCGGCCGAMGUCUGAUUAGCUUGUUGGUGAGGUAAAAGCUCACCAAGGCUUCGAUCAGUAGCUGGUCUGAGAGGACGGCCAGCCACACUGGGGCUGAGACACGGCCCAGACUCCUACGGGAGGCAGCAGUGGGGAAUUUUGGACAAUGGGGGCAACCCUGAUCCAGCCAUGCCGCGUGAGUGAAGAAGGCCUUCGGGUUGUAAAGCUCUUUCAGCCGGAACGAAACGGUUACGAUUAAUACCCGUGACUACUGACGGUACCGGAAGAAGAAGCACCGGCUAACUACGUGCCAGCAGCCGCGGUAAUACGUAGGGUGCAAGCGUUAAUCGGAAUUACUGGGCGUAAAGCGUGCGCAGGUGGUCUUGUAAGUCAGAUGUGAAAUCCCCGGGCUUAACCUGGGAACU